This 437-nucleotide ribosomal RNA is filed under the name Leifsonia sp. R-46167. Its description in RNAcentral is "bacterial SSU rRNA". It matches the Rfam family "Bacterial small subunit ribosomal RNA", at positions 22 to 457 of the family's 1533-position model. The record is from RNAcentral. Lineage: Bacteria; Bacillati; Actinomycetota; Actinomycetes; Micrococcales; Microbacteriaceae.
GCUCAGGACGAACGCUGGCGGCGUGCUUAACACAUGCAAGUCGAACGAUGAACCUGGAGCUUGCUCUAGGGGAUUAGUGGCGAACGGGUGAGUAACACGUGAGUAACCUGCCCUUGACUCUGGGAUAACCUCCGGAAACGGAAGCUAAUACCGGAUAUGACGCACGGAGGCAUCUCCUGUGCGUGGAAAGAAUUUCGGUCAAGGAUGGACUCGCGGCCUAUCAGGUAGUUGGUGAGGUAACGGCCCACCAAGCCUACGACGGGUAGCCGGCCUGAGAGGGUGACCGGCCACACUGGGACUGAGACACGGCCCAGACUCCUACGGGAGGCAGCAGUGGGGAAUAUUGCACAAUGGGCGAAAGCCUGAUGCAGCAACGCCGCGUGAGGGACGACGGCCUUCGGGUUGUAAACCUCUUUUAGUAGGGAAGAAGCGAAAGU